AGCUUUGCACUGUGGCAGUAUCAUAGCCAAUGAGGUUUAUCUUAGGUGUAAUUAUUGCUAAUUCAAAAUUAAUAAAAAUAUACAGAUUAAUAUAUAAACUAUUUUUCAGAAA
RNAcentral lists this small nuclear RNA (112 nucleotides) under Zalophus californianus (California sea lion). RNAcentral describes it as "U4 spliceosomal RNA (ENSZCAG00015013167.1)". It matches the Rfam family "U4 spliceosomal RNA". Rfam says of the family: U4 small nuclear RNA (U4 snRNA) is a component of the major U2-dependent spliceosome. The structure of U4 snRNA from yeast and human has been reported. Lineage: Eukaryota; Metazoa; Chordata; Mammalia; Carnivora; Otariidae. The record is from RNAcentral.